GGCAUUUGGACAGGAAAUCUUGUGCUUCAGCAUGCCUCCCAGCCUUGAAAAAGGCCUUGAAUAAACGAAGAACCACUGAUGUAGAUGGAAACUUUUUGGAAGUCAUAGACUUCAUAAAAGCUACAGCAUCAUCACCUGUUCCAGACUUCGUCACAUGCUUAAUAAAUGGAUCCACAAAGGGAGGAAAACCAUGAUUUUUCAUCAAAUCCAACAGAUUCAAGGCAUCUGCAAAUCCAUCCUGAACCAAUAAUUUAUUUAUCAAUCCUUUGUAGGUGGUAUGCCGAGGCGCUAACUGAUUAUGAAAAACGUAGCCAUGCAGAAGCUUGCAUGCAUCUAUAGCUCUGUUCUUGUAACAAUAAGCAUUUACCAAAGAUUCAAAGGCAUAAAUAGCAUUAGAAACUCCCUCCUUUUCAAUCAGUUUUUGGAAACAAUCAGAUGCAUUCUCAAGAUCCCCAGAUGCACAAUGCCCUUCAAUUAAAGAUGUCCAUGCCUUGUAAUCCAAAUUACUCCCAGAUGCUUCCAUAUGAUCCACAAAUUCACUCACUUUAUCCUUGUUCCCAGCACAACUAAGCCUGAAGACAAUCUUUCUCUGUAGAUUACCACUAGCUACAAACCCACCUUCCUUCAUUUCUUU
RNAcentral lists this unclassified non-coding RNA (634 nucleotides) under Hevea brasiliensis (rubber tree). Lineage: Eukaryota; Viridiplantae; Streptophyta; Magnoliopsida; Malpighiales; Euphorbiaceae. The record is from RNAcentral.